This 641-nucleotide ribosomal RNA is filed under the name uncultured Acidobacteriota bacterium. RNAcentral's name for it is "bacterial SSU rRNA". It matches the Rfam family "Bacterial small subunit ribosomal RNA", at positions 8 to 650 of the family's 1533-position model. Lineage: Bacteria; Pseudomonadati; Acidobacteriota. The record is from RNAcentral.
AGAGUUUGAUCCUGGCUCAGAGCGAACGCUGGCGGCGUGCUUAACACAUGCAAGUCGAGUGCGCGCCCGUAGCAAUACGGGUGGCGCACGGCGCACGGGUGCGUAACACGUGGGCAAUCUGCCCUCGGAUGGGGGAUAACCCCGCGAAAGCGGGGCUAAUAUCGCAUGACAUUCCGGAGACUCCGGUCUCUGGACUCAAAGGCCGCAAGGCCGUCUGAGGAGGAGCCCGCGCCCGAUUAGCUAGUUGGUGAGGUAACGGCUCACCAAGGCUUUGAUCGGUAGCCGGUCUGAGAGGAUGGCCGGCCACACUGGAACUGAGACACGGUCCAGACUCCUACGGGAGGCAGCAGUGGGGAAUAUUGCGCAAUGGGCGAAAGCCUGACGCAGCGACGCCGCGUGGGGGAUGAAGCUUCUCGGAGUGUAAACCCCUUUCGACCCGGACGAAUGACCCGCAAGGGUUUGACGGUACGGGUAUAAGAAGCCCCGGCUAACUACGUGCCAGCAGCCGCGGUAAUACGUAGGGGGCCAGCGUUGCUCGGAAUUACUGGGCGUAAAGGGUUCGUAGGUGGUGCGGCAAGUUGGAAGUGAAAUCUCUGGGCUUAACCCAGAGGCUGCUUUCAAAACUGCCGUGCUCGAGUGCG